Molecule: unclassified non-coding RNA, 1601 nt
Filed under: Hevea brasiliensis (rubber tree)
Lineage: Eukaryota; Viridiplantae; Streptophyta; Magnoliopsida; Malpighiales; Euphorbiaceae
Source: RNAcentral
UUGUGACAUAAAUUAAGGCACAAAAUUGCAACACAUUACGAUGAUGAAAGUAUAUAUCAUCGUAGUAAUGUGGAACAAGAUACGUUGAGAGAAUUCAUCGUAAAUGGUACAAAAGAUAGAAUUCCUCAUGACCUAGUUUUCUGGAAUUUGUUCGGGCGUCCACCAAAAUCAUUACCCCUUCCACGCGAAUGCUUCCCACCUCUGUUGAACCUUCCUCCCCUUCCCCUAUUCCCUUUAAAGUCACGGCGUUUUUCCUGCUGGCCAUUACGGAACAUAGUCCAGUAUUCCCUCUCAGCAUCACCAGUAACAGGGUCCAAGACAGCAAUGAAAUUUUUCACCGCCAAACCACCUUCCUCAGCAAGUACACCAGCAGCACGUGCUUUCUGUGCAGCCCCUUCACUUUCAAACCUUAUAUAUCCUGAUUCUGCUCCAAUCGCGAAAUCGAUGAACUUUACAGUACCAAAUUUUUGGAAUACGCUCUUCAGGUCUUCACGCAUAACGAUAUCUUUGUUAUCCUUGCAAGCAGCAAUGGAUAAUUUUUCUUCCGCUGAAGCUUGCUCAACAUCUUCAGUUGGAGUGUCCAUGGAUUUCUCGGCAACAACAGGAUUCUGAACAUCAGUCUCCCCAUUCCCAUCCUCUGCAUCUUUUUUAUCACCCUUCUCAACAUUUUCACCCUUCUCAACAUUCUCAUCAUUGUCUCCAUCUUUAAUACCUCCUGGGACCUUCUCAUCUGUCAUUUCAACAUUGUCUACUGUUGUAUCUUUAUUGCCUCCUGUUUCAGGAGCACUUGCGCUUUCAGUAGCCAGUUCAUGAUUACCAUUCUGAUCUGUAGAGCUUUUAGCAGAGAUCCUCUUCAACUUAAAUGCAAUGAUCAAGCCCUUUGGAUAGUCUAGCUCCGAAUUCGAAUUAUUUUUACUAUUUGGACCACUACGAGGAUGGUUUUGCUCAACUUCUUUCUCUUCAAUGGCUCUUUCAACAUCAAAUUCUUUCUUUGGUUUCAGUUCUAAUUCAACUCCUCCAUAAACCAAGUUUUGCUUCACAACAUUAACCGCAUCUUCCUCAUUGGAGAACUCAACAAGAGCAGUGCCACAAAACAUCCUUUUAUCAGCUACAUGACGAGGCAGUCUCACACUGUUCACCUCGCCAUGCUGAGCAAAGAAAGACUCCACGUCCUCCAGCUUGACACUGUAUUCCAAAGGGGAUGCAGCAAUCGUCCUAACAUCAAUUUGCUCAAUAACCUCCUCAGGCUUUGCAAGCUCACUGGCUCUUCCAACUUUCUUCCCAUCUUCUGAAAUUUUAAGAAAAGAAGAAGCUCUUAAAGCUUCAGCAACAGAUUGCACGGUAUCAUCUGAUAUAUCUUCUGCCUUUGCCAUCCCCAAAUCCAAGUGAGACCUCAUCCGUGAAAAUGAACAUAUCAAAGCUAAACUUAUCAACCCAUCUUCGCUUUCUUCCACUGAUUUCCUGAGAAACCCAUCUUUUGGGAGAUUACUAUCACUGAAGUAAAAAUUAACCUGACGAAUGACCUUCUUGACAGUUUCUUCGUUCAACGUUUUAGCCAUUGUUGUUAUGGUACAACAGAGGAGAGAAAACAAGCGUCUAGG